GGGGUUGUAGCUCAGUUGGGAGAGCGCCUGAAUCGCACUCAGGAGGUCGGGAGUUCGAAUCUCCUCAACUCCA
This 73-nucleotide transfer RNA is filed under the name candidate division Zixibacteria bacterium CG_4_9_14_3_um_filter_46_8. RNAcentral's name for it is "tRNA-Ala". It matches the Rfam family "tRNA". From Rfam's summary of the family: Transfer RNA (tRNA) molecules are approximately 80 nucleotides in length. Their secondary structure includes four short double-helical elements and three loops (D, anti-codon, and T loops). Lineage: Bacteria; Pseudomonadati; Candidatus Zixiibacteriota. RNAcentral also lists the same sequence under 1 other name. The record is from RNAcentral.